This 435-nucleotide ribosomal RNA is filed under the name uncultured bacterium. RNAcentral's name for it is "partial 16S ribosomal RNA". It matches the Rfam family "Bacterial small subunit ribosomal RNA", at positions 29 to 507 of the family's 1533-position model. The record is from RNAcentral.
AGCGAACGCUGGCGGCAGGCUUAACACAUGCAAGUCGAGCGGGCACUUUCGGGUGUCAGCGGCGGACGGGUGAGUAACGCGUGGGAACGUGCCCUCUGGUUCGGAAUAACUCAGGGAAACUUGAGCUAAUACCGGAUACGCCCUUUUGGGGAAAGGCUUGCUGCCGGAGGAUCGGCCCGCGUCUGAUUAGCUAGUUGGUGAGGUAACGGCUCACCAAGGCGACGAUCAGUAGCUGGUCUGAGAGGAUGAUCAGCCACACUGGGACUGAGACACGGCCCAGACUCCUACGGGAGGCAGCAGUGGGGAAUAUUGGACAAUGGGCGCAAGCCUGAUCCAGCCAUGCCGCGUGAGUGAUGAAGGCCUUAGGGUUGUAAAGCUCUUUUAUCCGGGACGAUAACGACGGUACCGGAGGAAUAAGCCCCGGCUAACUUCGUG